CCAAUUGAUAGCCUCACAAUAAGGUCAUUUGGCAAUUUAGUACAAAGUUAGUUAGGUUUGACAAUAAUUAUUUUAUUUUUUAAUUUAAAUUCUUAAAAAGAGUUGUGAGUUCGAGUCUCCCCAAGAUCAAGGUGGAGAAUUCUUGGAGGGAAGGAUGUCGGGGGUCUAUUUGGAAACAGCCUCUCUACCGAAAGGUAGGGGUAAUGUCUGCGUCCACACUAUCCUCCUUAAACCCCACUAAGUGGGAUUAUACU
This 254-nucleotide long non-coding RNA is filed under the name Nicotiana benthamiana. RNAcentral's name for it is "long non-coding RNA (NBEN_LNC029349)". Lineage: Eukaryota; Viridiplantae; Streptophyta; Magnoliopsida; Solanales; Solanaceae. The record is from RNAcentral.